RNAcentral lists this ribosomal RNA (637 nucleotides) under uncultured Bacteroidota bacterium. Its description in RNAcentral is "bacterial SSU rRNA". It matches the Rfam family "Bacterial small subunit ribosomal RNA", at positions 1 to 637 of the family's 1533-position model. The record is from RNAcentral. Lineage: Bacteria; Pseudomonadati; Bacteroidota.
GCCCUUAGAGUUUGAUCCUGGCUCAGGACGAACGCUGGCGGCAGGCUUAACACAUGCAAGUCGCACGAGAACAGGCCUUCGGGCCUUAGUAAAGUGGCGGACGGGUGAGUAACACGUAGACAACCUGCCCCAAAGCGAGGGAUAACUAUCGGAAACGGUAGCUAAUACCGCAUGCAGUCUUUACCGGGCAUCCGGUUUAGAUGAAAGCCUUCGGGCGCUUUGGGAUGGGUCUGCGGAGGAUUAGUUUGUUGGUAGGGUAAAGGCCUACCAAGACUACGAUCCAUAGCUGGUCUGAGAGGACGAUCAGCCACACUGGGACUGAGACACGGCCCAGACUCCUACGGGAGGCAGCAGUGGGGAAUCUUGGGCAAUGGGCGAAAGCCUGACCCAGCCAUGCCGCGUGGAGGAAGACACCCCUAUGGGGCGUAAACUCCUUUUGUGCAGGAAGAAGGCCUCGGUCACCGAGGUUUGACGGUACUGCACGAAUAAGCACCGGCUAACUCCGUGCCAGCAGCCGCGGUAAUACGGAGGGUGCAAGCGUUGUCCGGAAUCACUGGGUGUAAAGGGUGUGUAGGCGGGAUUGUAAGUCAGAGGUGAAAUCUUGCGGCUCAACCGUAAAAUUGCCUUUGAUACUGCA